GACGAACGCUGGCGGCGUGCUUAACACAUGCAAGUCGAACGGAAAGGCCCUGCUUUUGUGGGGUGCUCGAUUGGCGAACGGGUGAGUAACACGUGAGUAACCUGCCCUUGACUUUGGGAUAACUUCAGGAAACUGGGGCUAAUACCGGAUAUGAGCUCCUGCUGCAUGGUGGGGGUUGGAAAGUUUCGGCGGUUGGGGAUGGACUCGCCGCUUAUCAGCUUGUUGGUGGGGUAGUGGCUUACCAAGGCUUUGACGGGUAGCCGGCCUGAGAGGGUGACCGGCCACGUUGGGCCUGAGAUACGGCCCAGCCUCCUACGGGAGGCAGCAGUGGGGAAUAUUGCACAAUGGGCGGAAGCCUGAUGCAGCAACGCCGCGUGCGGGAUGCCGGCCUUCGGGUUGUAAACCGCUUUCGACUGAGACGAAGCGUGAGUGACGGUAAUGGGUAAAGAAGCACCGGCUAACUACGUG
This 468-nucleotide ribosomal RNA is filed under the name uncultured bacterium. Its description in RNAcentral is "partial 16S ribosomal RNA". It matches the Rfam family "Bacterial small subunit ribosomal RNA", at positions 28 to 507 of the family's 1533-position model. The record is from RNAcentral.